UACGUAGGGGGCAAGCGUUGUCCGGAAUCAUUGGGCGUAAAGAGCGUGUAGGCGGUCCGGUAAGUCCGCUGUGAAAGUCGGGGGCUCAACCCUCGAAUGCCGGUGGAUACUGUCGGGCUUGAGUACGGAAGAGGCGAGUGGAAUUCCUGGUGUAGCGGUGAAAUGCGCAGAUAUCAGGAGGAACACCAAUUGCGAAGGCAGCUCGCUGGGACGUUACUGACGCUGAGACGCGAAAGCGUGGGGAGCAAACAGG
Molecule: ribosomal RNA, 253 nt
Filed under: uncultured bacterium
Lineage: Bacteria
Description: partial 16S ribosomal RNA
Rfam family: Bacterial small subunit ribosomal RNA
Source: RNAcentral